GCCUACGGGGGGCAGCAGUGGGGGAUAUUGCACAAUGGGGGGAACCCUGAUGCAGCGACGCCGCGUGGGUGAAGAAGCGCCUCGGCGCGUAAAGCCCUGUCAGCAGGGAAGAAAAUGACGGUACCUGAAGGAGAAGCCCCGGCUAACUACGUGCCAGCAGCCGCGGUAAUACGUAGGGGGCAAGCGUUAUCCGGAUUUACUGGGUGUAAAGGGAGCGUAGACGGUUGUAUAAGUCUGGAGUGAAAGCCCGGGGCCCAACCCCGGGACUGCUUUGGAAACUGUGUAACUUGAGUACAGGAGGGGCA
Molecule: ribosomal RNA, 305 nt
Filed under: uncultured bacterium
Lineage: Bacteria
Description: bacterial SSU rRNA
Rfam family: Bacterial small subunit ribosomal RNA
Source: RNAcentral